This 1403-nucleotide long non-coding RNA is filed under the name Anolis carolinensis (green anole). Its description in RNAcentral is "lncRNA (ENSACAG00000042320.1)". Lineage: Eukaryota; Metazoa; Chordata; Lepidosauria; Squamata; Anolidae. The record is from RNAcentral.
UUCUUGAAGUUGUGUCUGCGACAAAAAAAAGUCAAAUUUGAUAGCUAUAUAUAGAUGUAGAUGAAUGCAAGAGCAUGCUGCCACAUCAGUUUUUGCCUGCCGGAAGUGAUACAGCCUUCAUAAACACUGGUUGUCAAAGGUGUAUUCAUGAAGCUGUCUUGUGUUAAAAUGUCAGCAAAAUUUUGGAUUCUCCAGAACUCCUUAUUAGUCACCAGAAGGCCUUGUUUCAUGUCCCACCAAUAUCUAAGGAUCAUUCAGUGUGAGUUCACGAGAGAAACACCAUCUUUGUUGACAUGCCCAGCCUUAAAACACAAUGUUGCCAUUGAGAUAUCAUCCUUCCUGAUGUCAUGACAUGAUUCUCCCAAAAAGCUUGUGGCAUUGGAUGAAAAGCAUAUUUCAGGAUCUCGUGUGUUUUCCUUACAUGUAAUGAGCAUGUUUGUAAGUGUAUAUGGUGGGAGGGGGAAAGAGAUGAAUAAUUUGCAAGAAUUUUGAGACAAGUCAAGCACUUUCUGUUAAGACAGAAGGGUAGAAUGGAAAAUACUUUAAGGUUGUUCUUCACUGCUGAAAUUGUGUGCACAUCUCUGCACUAACUGACCCACAGUCCUAUUAAUAGAGGCAGGCGAAGUUAGCAAGAUAAGGGAUUCAUUGUGAUGUGCAAAAUUUCCGGUUCCUCAUCAUAGCAAAUCUAGAAUUCCAUUCACAAUGGCCCAAGGAUGGGGCAAAGGAAGCAGAAAAAGCAGCCUUUCCUGAAAUAGCCAUAUCUGGUAGACACUAUAGCCUGGAUGCAAAGAGAUUUUAUAGCACAUUUGAGGGGAAGGAUUAGAGAAAGAAAUUGGUGGCAUAGACUUAAAGUUUGCUUCAUCUAUUACAUGGAGUAAAAUGUUUAGGAAUACCUCACCACCAUACUCACAAGUUCUGCAUUUCUAUUGCUAUUCACAUAUUCAACCUGUUCCGAGGUACUUCACUCCAUGCAUCUGAAGAAAUAGACUGAAUUCUAUGAAAGCUUAUGCUAGUAAUUUCUCAAAGUUGCUAAAAGAUCCCUUUGCAUACUGAUGUAUACUAACAAGGUUACAUCUUUGAAUUCUAACCUGAAGUUAUUGAAGGUUUUUAUUGCUUUUGUUUCAGUCAUUUGAAUGACUGUUGAAUUACUAGAUGCAUUUGAACCUUCAGAAAUACUUGAAAUUACCUGUAAAAGAAAACUCGAAUUUCAGUUGAGAGUAAACAGUUGAGUUAACAAAAAGUUUAGUUUAUUCAGUGCUUAGACUAUAGGUCUUACACAUAUACCGUAGUAAAGAUAAAGGAUUUCCCCUGACAUUAAGUCCAGUCAUGUCCGACUCUGGGGGUGGUGCUCAUCUCCAUUUCUAAGCCGAAGAGCCGGCGUUGUCCAUAGACACCUCCAAGGU